Molecule: long non-coding RNA, 212 nt
Filed under: Mytilus galloprovincialis (Mediterranean mussel)
Lineage: Eukaryota; Metazoa; Mollusca; Bivalvia; Mytilida; Mytilidae
Source: RNAcentral
UGAAAAGUUUGAAUGGUUGCCUUUCAAAAUUUGUUGAUCAUUAAAAAGUGAGUGUCCCUUAUAGAAGUGAAGCUCCCAUAUAUGUACACAUCUUUAACCAGGUUCCGUAGAACAGUUAUACGAUAUCACGUCGCCUAUAUAGGAGAAUAUUCUACGAAUCAUUUCAUAUUCGCAACAACUACUUGAAUAUAAAGCUAACAUAAACACAUUAC